This 74-nucleotide transfer RNA is filed under the name Candidatus Peribacteraceae bacterium. Its description in RNAcentral is "tRNA-Gly". It matches the Rfam family "tRNA". From Rfam's summary of the family: Transfer RNA (tRNA) molecules are approximately 80 nucleotides in length. Their secondary structure includes four short double-helical elements and three loops (D, anti-codon, and T loops). The record is from RNAcentral. Lineage: Bacteria; Candidatus Peregrinibacteriota; Candidatus Peribacteria; Candidatus Peribacterales.
GCGGGUAUCGUACAAUGGUAGUACGGCGCCUUGCCAUGGCGCAGACAGGGGUUCGAUUCCCCUUACCCGCUCCA